Molecule: RNA transcript, 5098 nt
Organism: Oreochromis niloticus (Nile tilapia)
Lineage: Eukaryota; Metazoa; Chordata; Actinopteri; Cichliformes; Cichlidae
Exons: 17
Source: RefSeq, a predicted model, not a curated record
CACCGCAUCCAACAAACAGUUCCGUCCUUCCCCCCACAAGCUAGGGGGAGUUAUAUCUUGAGUGUUCCAUCGUCUUUGAUUGUGUCCAAUGCCACCGUUUCCGUAGUGCUAGGUGCAUGGUAGCUAACAACGUUAGCUCUAAGUGAAUGGGGAGAGCUACGUGUUGAAAUCAGUGUCCCAAACAUCUGAGGAAUAUUACCUAAAGGCUUUGCCAUGAUAAAUUGACCAGCUUUCAACCACAGCUGCACACCUUAACCUCAGAGGCCAGGACAUCCAGGGACAGUGUGAACAUACACAUCUUUAAAUGGGAUGCAAGACGAACUAUAGACGACCGAUAGCUUAAACUUGUGCAUCAAUGGAUGAGGAAACGCUUGAAAGCCCAAUCCAGGGCACAGAGACUGUGGAAGAAGAUGCAGGACAAAACGCAGAGAAGAACAGCUGUAAAGGAGACACUGCAGAAGAGGAUGUAGGACAAAGGUCAGAGAAGAAGAGCAGUGACAUAGAUGAGACAUAUGAACCAGCCCCAGAAUCCUCAGAUGGUGUAAAUGCAAUAGGAAGCCCCAGCUCUGGUCCCAUGAAAGAAAAAGCAACAGAGGAGAAAGAGGAGGCGAAGUCUUCUGGUGGUGAGCCUCCUGUUGACUGGUUUGAGCCACUUGAAGAUGAUGACGACGAUGCUGAAAGCAAUGAUAGAAAUGAUCCAGAGGAAGAGAGUCUGGCAGGAGAAAGUGAAAGGAGCGAGAGUGUGGGUGGCAGUGAGAGCACCUUCAAAAAGAUAUAUCAGCUUCAUGCACCCCGUCGUAAACGAUCGCACCCUGAUGAGGGAUGGGUUGAAUGCCCUGCACUGGGGGAGGGCUGGAAGCGCAAAGAGGUCGUUCGGCGCUCAGGAUCUAGUAUUGGCCAAAAGGAUGUAUAUUACUUAAGUCCUCGUGGUGAUCGAGUGAGAAGCAGAGUAGAGCUGAUUUCAGUGCUGGAAGGACAGGACUUGUCUAACUUUGAGUACAAGACGGGCAAAUUCUACGAUGGCGAAACACCGCUCCCAAAAAUUCGAAGCAGAAAGAGAAAGGUCCGCGAGCGAUCGUCCUCGGAGUCCAGCUGGAUGGAGAGGGGAGAGGGGGCAGACACUCCUGACUCCCACCACAGACUAACCCCAAGCCUCGGGUCUAAAAACGCCAACUCCAAUCAGUCAAAUGCCCCCUUGAACAGUACAGUGGGAUCGCCCAAUCAAGGGUCUCACAGUGAGGAUCCACCUGCCGAGGAUAAAAUUAAACUCCCUGGUCCGUCAUCAUCUCAGCCACGUCCGCUCCCUUCCAUAAAUGGAGAGAUCGGGUCAGAGGACAGCAUACUGAUCUGUGCCAGAUGUGGCAUUUCCUUCACAGGCACGUGGUACGACAAACAAAGAAAGAGGCCCUGCUGUCCCUCCUGUUGGGCAGCGUCAAAGACAAAAGAACACCCAAUGAUUCGCUUCAGAAAGUGGAUUCCUUGUGGUCAGUGUGUGGGAUGUCAUAACACCGUCAAUUGUGGGCAGUGUGCCAAUUGCAAACAUGGGCUGCAGAGCCCAGAAUCCCGGAGACGCAUAUGCCGAAAACGCAAAUGUAUAUGUCCCAUUCGCAAGGGCCCUGGAAGUGGAGGCUUCAUACAGCAGAGGCCUUACAGUGACGUUUCGGAAACAUUUGACGACAGCAUGAGUUUCCAGGGUGAAGUUACAGAUUCACAGCACCCCAGUCUCAAAAGCAGUGAUACGGAGAACUUCUCAGUCAAUGUGGAUGUUGAUGAUGAGGAUGAAUUGUCAACUGAUGACGAUGAUGAUUGGCACAAAAAGCGGAAGCGACGUUCCUGUGGAGAAUGCAAGGCCUGUCUCUGCAGGAAAGACUGUGGCACGUGUGAUUUCUGUAUAGACAAGCCCAAGUUCGGAGGCAGCAACAAGAAAAGGCAGAAAUGUCGUUUACGGCAGUGUCAGAGGCAGGCAAUGAGGCAUUUGCUGCCCUUCCAGAUGGGACAAGGUGACUACGGACCAGAUGGCCCGCUACCGCCAGGCCGGCCUAGACCUCACUACACAUACAGUCGCAAGUUAGGUUUAAAGAAAAUCAAAGAGUCUCAGAUGGGCUAUGAUUUAAGCGACAAUGAAGAUGAUGACAGUAAUUUACAACCAAUUAGUUGGAGCUUGUCACCUGUGAAGUCUAGCAAAAACUUUUUUGACACGAAUGUGAGAAACCACCAAUCAUCUAUGCAGCAGUUGAAUGAUUCCGAGUUUGGAGUGCGGAAUGGACUGUCAGACGGCGUCCCUCACAUCAGCAACCACAGCAACCCCCACCAAGAGCAGCAAAACAGAUGGGAUGCAGAGAGAGCACAAAGUGGCAGAGAAGCUACAAAGCAAGUUGUUGAAGAAGAGAAAGAUGAGUUGCCCAUGAUUACACAGAUCUUCAGUUUGGCUGAUAACCCAGUUGGGACUGGUGCAGAUGCAGAAAACCACCUCAUGAAACUACUAGACUCUUUACGCUCCUCUGUACUGCCCAUAUUGUGGUAUGCUAUAAUGGUGGAGGGCCCGCAGCUGCAGCUCAUCCAGUGUUCUAAGCAGUCCAGCAUGACCGACACCAUGGUGCUAAUCGACCCGGGCUUCUUCUAUCAGGUCACCGUCCAAAAGCAACCGCUGCUCCCCACCCACCCGCUGUACGACUGCUACCCAGCACGUCUAACCUCGGUGACUGAGGUGGUUAAUUUGCUUUUUGGGUCUGGAGAAGUACUCUGUGUGCCAGGGGGAUGCCUCCCAAAGAACCAUUACAUUAUAAAGACCCCAUCAUACUGGAACGGUCAUCAACAUGUGAUUUCCUGGUUAAGAAGAAUGUGGGCAUUUGUAAUAACUGCAGAGCACUUCAACUUUAACGUCAUCACAGACAGAAAUGGAAAAUAAAUGUGAGCAGAGUGGAGACCACUGGUUUUCUAGUGACACUUUGUGCAAUUUUAUUUUAUUUUUUGGUGAUGAUGUAUAUCAAAACUUUACAGACUUACCUCUGGACUGUAAAUGGUUUAUUUUAAGAAUCACCAAAGGCAUUUCAGGAGUUGUGACAUUAUAAUCCAGGCGUGUUUCUUCUCAGACGUUUUAUUAUGUAGGUGUAGGGCUUUUCUACUUGACUGUUAUGUGUCUUGGCUUUGGCAGUGUGCUGAAGUCAGCCCUCUGUGUGGUUAGUGUGCUGUUGGUUGAUUCACACUCUUACUUGAGGAAUAUCCCUCACCCUCCUUACCACUAUUACACAUUUUAGUAGCCCUUUCAGACAACUGUACUACUAGAAAAUUAGCCCACGUGUUUGAUUCCCAGCAUUAACACUGUUGUCAUGCUACCGGGUUCGUUCAUACUAUAUACAACAAAGUUAAUAGAAGAUUUGUUUUGGUAAAAACAAGUGUGCACCUCAACUGCUUUCUUUUUUAAUUUAAUAAUAUAUUCAUUAGUGUCAUCACUGUUGUCACUAACACUCCAUUUAUUAGCACUCCAUUUAUUUGCAUUUUUGCAUUUGCUCCCAGUGAUGAUACUAAGGCUGGAAAAAUGUGAGGGAAUUAGAAAGGGUACCCGGUGGCAAAUCAGAUGUGUUGAUCCAUCUGAUGUGGUGACCACUUGGGAAAUAAGGGAGCUGCCAAAGGUACCUUUCUAUUAGAACUAGUUAUUUAAAUUGAAUUAUGUGAUUAUUUCAAAUUCAUGACCAUUCAUACUGGAUUGUAAUGAUGACAUGUUGAUUCUGGGCUGAAAUUACAAGCAUUUUUUAAAUAUCUUAAUCUGAUUGCAAAGUAGACUAUCAUUUGAUUAGCUCUCCCACUGAAGGCAGAAUGUGCUCCUAGCAUCAGCAUGUGUGGUGUGAUGAAUUUCAUACGACCUUUAAAAAUGCAUUGAAGUUGUCCCAUGACAGGAAAAAAAGUACAAUUACCUUUUGAGGUUUGUUCUCAUAAAUAACUAACUUUAAUCUCAAAACUUUUUUUUUUUAAACAGCUGUUGGGUAGGUCAGCUUUUUUGUAAACCUAACCUACCCUCCUUUUUUGCUUUCAUAGGGUGAGUUUUUGUUAUCAUAUUGCAUCAGAAAUAUCUGAAAAGUGGGAAAUAUAUCAUCACAAACUGACCUAGUAUGGAUAUUAUGCUAAAUUUGUAUUCACCCCAUUACUAUGACAGUCUAAAGUCAUUUGAGCAGAACCCACAAGCUAUAAGUAGGAGCAAGCCACUGUUUUAAAAAAUAUCCAAGACAUCUGAGAUAGUAGUGAUUUUCCAGAACAUACAGUGACAUUACUGGUCAAAUAUUUAAUUGAAUAUUCCCCAAAUAAAGAGACAGUGUGGAUGGUUAUGCAAAGUAAGUAUAAGUAACACUUAAAAAAAGGUACCUUUGUGUAAUCCUAUGUUGGGGUUGUUGUACUUGUAAUUUCUCUCAAUUUUAGCCCAAUUUGAUGUCUAGUGAGAAUAUUUCACACUAUAUCUACUGAAAACUUUAUUCAAUGACCCGGUAUUUAGACUUGACACUAAAAACAUUGUAACACCUUUUAAGAUCUCAAACAAAACAAAAAAAACAGAUGAAGAUGAAUGUAGUUAAACAUUCCUCACAAAUCUCAAGCUAAAACCCAGCGACAGGAUUACAGUUGUUGUGACUGGCACCAUGUUAGCUGAGAACAGUAAACUUUCCUUAAAGGUUUAGUUUCGGUUUUUCGAGGUUUUUAUUGUUUUUAGAACAACAUGCUCUUGUCAAAGUGAUGAUGUAGCAACAAUCAUCGUACAGAUGACUCUGAAAUAAUAAUAUCUGAAAUAAUAAUAAGCACUUAAUGAGUCUUCUUCUGUCUCUGUUCUCGAGUAGUAUAACACUUGGCCUUUAAUUGUAUUUUCAGCCAUAUAAUGUGUUUUGUUUUUGUUUUUUAAGUGUAUAAUAAUUCAGUUUUUACCCCCCAUUACAAACAACCUCCUGCAAGUUUUAACAAUGUGAAAUUUUAUGCAUUCUUGAUGUGAUUUUUUUUUUAAAUGUUGUUUUCCUCAAGUAAUUGUGCAUAUGUUGAAAUAUUUGGGAACAGUGGGUUAUUCCUUUAAAAAAUAUUGUUAUUUAGUCUUUGAAUUAAAACAUAUUUGAAGAACUGA